Molecule: long non-coding RNA, 1961 nt
Organism: Mirounga angustirostris (Northern elephant seal)
Lineage: Eukaryota; Metazoa; Chordata; Mammalia; Carnivora; Phocidae
Exons: 2
Source: RefSeq, a predicted model, not a curated record
GGGCGCGGGGCGGGGCUGGGGAGGAGCCGCGGCCGAGGCGGCCCCGCGGCGGCAGGUGUGCAGGGGGCGGAGGUGCGGCUGAGGCGGAGGUGCGGGGAUGUCCACUCCCGCCCGCGCCCUCCAGGGGCCGGGGCUCGGAGGCCCGCACCGCCUCCCGGACGAGCUUCGAGAGCGGCUUCGAUCUGCGCACAACUUGGGGCGCGCAGGUUCCACGUCCGGCGCCCAGAGGAGAAAGGCGCGCGUCCCCGACCGCGGCGCCCGCGCGGACCCCAAUGGUGGAAGGGAAGAUUUUGGAGAAGUGAACCACCGAAGAGGCCUGGCAUUGCUCCUGUGACUUAGCGCUGGAGAGGAGGCAAGAUGCUGGCAUAGCUGUUGGACUGAGAACCUGCUAUGCCAACAUAUUGCCAUCUUUCUUGUCUGAUAGCGGCCGUGGCCACUGCCUGCCACCCCUCACGAGUCGCUACGGAUGUGUGCCCUUCCUUGCGUGUGGGUUUCCAUGACCUGGCCCUGCUCAUCUUUCUGACCUCUCUUCUGCCAUGCUGCCUGUCUCUCCAUUUUAGCCCCAACCGGCCUUUCUGGACGUGCCUGCCUCUUUCUCAUCAUCUGGGUCUCGGUGAGGGCAUCAGCUCCUGAGAGAAGCCUUCCUUGGCCAUGCUAUCUCAAAUAGCUGUCACAUGCCUUGGUUGCCCUUCACCCCUGUACCCUGCCUUACUUUUUCAAAAUAUUGGUCACUCCCUGGAACAUAUUCAUUGAUUUAAGUGUCUUCAUCUCUCACAUUAGAGUGUAAGCCCCUUGAGGGUUAGGGACCUUGUUUGUCAUGUUCAACCACAGAAUCCCCAGAGCCUGACACACAGGAGGCCCUUGGUACAUACUUUUGGAACUCCACCCUGACUUUUGUGGUGCAAGAAAGAUGUCAAGUGAUUAUAUUUUCCCCGUUACAAAUGGCUUUGGUGAAACUCUGACCCACAAGUAACAAUAUAAAGAACUAAACAGUUGUUGAGUUCUGGACCUGCAACCCUCACUCCUUAGAGUCGUCAAUAUGGUAUCACUGGGUCCACAGAUUAUAUCCGUAUAUCAUAAUGAGAAAAGCGUGAGCUUCAAAAUAAAGCCUCUGUGAGACUUGCACACUGGAGUUGCCUAUCUGUGUGUUCUUGGACAAGUCAUUUAACCUUUGAGCCAUGGUUUUCUCAAUUGUAAAAUGAGGCUAAUAAUACUAAUCCCAAAGGAUUCUUGAGUCAAAGAGAUAAGAUGCUUUAGCCAAACGACUCUUACUUCAUGUCCGAAAAGUUAGUGUCUAUAAAAUUCCUGAUACACAUGUAGGAGUAGGCACCCAACAAAUUUUAAUUAUUUUACUACCAAGAAAAAAAAAGUUAAUUUUUUGGGGGCGCCUGGGUGGCUCAGUUGGUUAGCGACUGCCUUCGGCUCAGGUCGUGAUCCUGGAGUCCCAGGAUUGAGUCCUGCAUCGGGCUCCCUGCUCAGCAGGGAGUCUGCUUCUCCCUCUGACCCUCCCCUGUCUCAUGCUCUCUCUCUCUCUAUCUCACUCUCUCUCUCAAAUAAAUUAAUAAAAAAAAAAUCUAAAAAAAAAAUAUCUUGAGGGAUGCCUAGGUGGCUCAGUCAGUUAAGCUUCUGCCUUCAGCUUGGGUCAUGAUCCCAGGGUCCUGGGAUCGAGUCCCACAUCAGACUACUUGCUCCGUGGGGAGCCUGCUUCUCCCUCUGCCUGCUGCUCUCCCUGCUUGCGUUCUCUCUCUCUCUCUCUGACAGAUAAAUAAAUAAAAUCUUAAAAAAAAUAUAUCUUGAGGGACACCUGGGUGGCUCAGUUGGUUAAGCAUCUGCCUUCGGCUCAGGUCAUGAUCCCAGGGUCCUGGGAUCGAGUCCCGCAUCGGGCUCCCUGCUCUGCGGGGAGCCUGCUUCUCCCUCUGCCUCUGUCUCUCUCUCUGUCUCUCAUGAAUAAAUAAAUAAAA